This 516-nucleotide ribosomal RNA is filed under the name uncultured bacterium. RNAcentral's name for it is "partial 16S ribosomal RNA". It matches the Rfam family "Bacterial small subunit ribosomal RNA", at positions 28 to 523 of the family's 1533-position model. The record is from RNAcentral.
GACGAACGCUGGCGGCAUGCCUAAUACAUGCAAGUCGAGCGGAGUUGAUGGAAAGCUUGCUUUCCUGAUACUUAGCGGCGGACGGGUGAGUAACACGUAGGCAACCUGCCCUCAAGCUUGGGACAACUACCGGAAACGGUAGCUACUACCGAAUACUUGUUUUCUUCGCCUGAAGAGAACUGGAAAGACGGAGCAAUCUGUCACUUGGGGAUGGGCCUGCGGCGCAUUAGCUAGUUGGUGAGGUAACGGCUCACCAAGGCGACGAUGCGUAGCCGACCUGAGAGGGUGAUCGGCCACACUGGGACUGAGACACGACCCAGACUCCUACGGGAGGCAGCAGUAGGGAAUCUUCCGCAAUGGUCGAAAGCCUGACGGAGCAAUGCCGCGUGAGUGAUGAAGGUUUUCGGAUCGUAAAGCUCUGUUGCCAGGGAAGAACGCUUGAGAGAGUAACUGCUCUCAAGGUGACGGUACCUGAGAAGAAAGCCCCGGCUAACUACGUGCCAGCCGCCGCGGUAA